UACGGGGGGAGCAAGCGUUGUUCGGAUUUACUGGGCGUAAAGGGCGCGUAGGCGGCGUGACAAGUCACUUGUGAAAUCUCCGGGCUUAACUCGGAACGGUCAAGUGAUACUGUCGUGCUAGAGUACAGAAGGGGCAACUGGAAUUCUCGGUGUAGCGGUGAAAUGCGUAGAUAUCAGGAGGAACACCGGUGGCGAAGGCGGCUUUCUGGACAGAUACCGACGCUGAGGCACGAAAGCUAGGGGAGCAAACAGG
This 253-nucleotide ribosomal RNA is filed under the name uncultured bacterium. RNAcentral describes it as "partial 16S ribosomal RNA". It matches the Rfam family "Bacterial small subunit ribosomal RNA", at positions 524 to 776 of the family's 1533-position model. The record is from RNAcentral.